RNAcentral lists this transfer RNA (89 nucleotides) under Streptomyces xanthochromogenes. RNAcentral's name for it is "tRNA-Asp". Lineage: Bacteria; Bacillati; Actinomycetota; Actinomycetes; Kitasatosporales; Streptomycetaceae. The record is from RNAcentral.
GGACCAUGCGGAGGCGGCGGCCACCCGGCUGUCGGCCGAGCGGGGGACGCUGCUCCAGGCGGUCUGGUUCGAUGCCGGACCGGUCCACC